GAAUAUUAGUCAAUGCUCGAAAGAGUGAACUAGCUAACUGAAAUCAAUUAUAAAAAUUGAUAACAUAAGGGAAAAUAAUGAUAUUACCUUAUUAUUAGUGUCGUCCAAAUCUGGUGCCAGAAGACUCGGUAAGGCCAGAGACACGAACGUUAAUCGUCUUAAUCAGGCGUAAAGGGUUUGUAGGCGGCUUUAAAUUUAUUAAAAAAUAAAAAAAAAAAAUAAAAUUAAAUUUAUUAAAAGUAAAGAAUAAAAGCUAGAAUCAAAUAGAGGAUAAGUUAAAGAAUGCUUAGAGUAGGUCUGAUAUCCUUAGAUACUAAGUAGAAUAUUAAAGGCGAAAGCUUUUUUCCAUUAAUGAUUGACGCUCAGAAACGAAGGUGAGGAUAGGAAAUAGGAUUAGAUACCCAAAAUACCCCUCUCUGUCAACGAUGAAUGGUAGUUAUUAGUAAUAAAUUAUUAAUGGCAAUGUUAACACGAUAACCAUUCCGCCUUGUGAGUACAACUGCAAAGUUGAAAACAAAAAAAUUAGUCGGUUUCGGAGCAAACGAAGUGAAGCAUGUUAUUUAAUU
This 566-nucleotide ribosomal RNA is filed under the name Russula inornata. RNAcentral's name for it is "partial 12S small subunit ribosomal RNA". It matches the Rfam family "Bacterial small subunit ribosomal RNA", at positions 359 to 951 of the family's 1533-position model. The record is from RNAcentral. Lineage: Eukaryota; Fungi; Basidiomycota; Agaricomycetes; Russulales; Russulaceae.